CCUACGGGGGGCAUCAGUGGGGAAUAUUGGACAAUGGGGGCAACCCUGAUCCAGCCAUGCCGCGUGUGUGAAGAAGGCCCUCGGGUUGUAAAGCACUUUCAGUGAGGAAGAACGCCUGGUGGUUAAUACCCAUCAGGAAAGACAUCACUCACAGAAGAAGCACCGGCUAACUCCGUGCCAGCAGCCGCGGUAAUACGGAGGGUGCGAGCGUUAAUCGGAAUUACUGGGCGUAAAGCGCGCGUAGGUGGCUUGAUAAGCCGGUUGUGAAAGCCCCGGGCUCAACCUGGGAACGGCAUCCGGAACUGUCAAGCUAGAGUGCAGGAGAGGAAGGUAGAAUUCCCGGUGUAGCGGUGAAAUGCGUAGAGAUCGGGAGGAAUACCAGUGGCGAAGGCGGCCUUCUGGACUGACACUGACACUGAGGUGCGAAAGCGUGGGUAGCAAACAGGAUUAGAUACCCCUGUAGUC
Molecule: ribosomal RNA, 465 nt
Filed under: Vreelandella stevensii
Lineage: Bacteria; Pseudomonadati; Pseudomonadota; Gammaproteobacteria; Oceanospirillales; Halomonadaceae
Description: partial 16S ribosomal RNA
Rfam family: Bacterial small subunit ribosomal RNA
Source: RNAcentral